UGGGGAAUCUUGCGCAAUGGGGGAAACCUUGACGCAGCAACGCCGCGUGGGUGAUGAAGGCCUUCGGGUCGUAAAGUCCUGUCAGGUGGGAAGAAACGUAUCGGUGCUAAUACCACCGAUAUUUGACGGUACUACCGGAGGAAGCACCGGCUAACUCCGUGCCAGCAGCCGCGGUAAUACGGAGGGUGCAAGCGUUGUUCGGAAUUACUGGGCGUAAAGCGCGUGUAGGCGGUUGGGCAAGUCAGAUGUGAAAGCCUUCCGCUCAACGGAAGAAGUGCAUUUGAAACUACCCGGCUGGAGUACGGGAGAGGAGAGUGGAAUUCCCGGUGUAGAGGUGAAAUUCGUAGAUAUCGGGAGGAACACCAGUGGCGAAGGCGGCUCUCUGGUCCGAUACUGACGCUGAUACGCGAAAGCGUGGGGAGCAAACAGGAUUAGAUACCCUGGUAGUCCACGCCGUAAACGAUGGGCACUAGGUGUAGGAGGUAUUGACCCCUUCUGUGCCGAAGUUAACGCAUUAAGUGCCCCGCCUGGGGAGUACGGCCGCAAGGUUA
This 551-nucleotide ribosomal RNA is filed under the name uncultured bacterium. Its description in RNAcentral is "bacterial SSU rRNA". It matches the Rfam family "Bacterial small subunit ribosomal RNA", at positions 355 to 896 of the family's 1533-position model. The record is from RNAcentral.